UUUUUUAUGAUGAAAAUAAAAAUGACUGAUCAAGUUUGAUGAUUUUCGCUAUUUCACCAAGAUCUCUGAAAAA
This 73-nucleotide small nucleolar RNA is filed under the name Plasmodium gonderi. RNAcentral describes it as "small nucleolar RNA snoR17". It matches the Rfam family "small nucleolar RNA snoR17". Lineage: Eukaryota; Apicomplexa; Aconoidasida; Haemosporida; Plasmodiidae. The record is from Rfam by way of RNAcentral.